AUUCCAUUAUGUGGACACUUCCUCAACAAUUCCUUGAAUCUUUCCCAUGCUUCAAACACCGUUUCUGAUUCUAGUUGACUGAAAUUGCUGAUCUCCUUCCUCAUUCU
Molecule: non-coding RNA, 107 nt
Organism: Solanum tuberosum (potato)
Lineage: Eukaryota; Viridiplantae; Streptophyta; Magnoliopsida; Solanales; Solanaceae
Source: Rfam